RNAcentral lists this ribosomal RNA (492 nucleotides) under uncultured bacterium. RNAcentral describes it as "partial 16S ribosomal RNA". It matches the Rfam family "Bacterial small subunit ribosomal RNA", at positions 29 to 507 of the family's 1533-position model. The record is from RNAcentral.
AGUGAACGCUGGCGGUAGGCCUAACACAUGCAAGUCGAACGGCAGCACAGUAAGGGCUUGCUCUUACGGGUGGCGAGUGGCGGACGGGUGAGGAAUACAUCGGAAUCUACUUUUUCGUGGGGGAUAACGUAGGGAAACUUACGCUAAUACCGCAUACGACCUACGGGUGAAAGCAGGGGAUCUUCGGACCUUGCGCGAUUGAAUGAGCCGAUGUCGGAUUAGCUAGUUGGCGGGGUAAAGGCCCACCAAGGCGACGAUCCGUAGCUGGUCUGAGAGGAAGAUCAGCCACACUGGAACUGAGACACGGUCCAGACUCCUACGGGAGGCAGCAGUGGGGAAUAUUGGACGAUGGGCGCAAGCCUGAUCCAGACAUACCGCGUGGGUGAAGCAGGCCUUCGGGUUGUAAAGCCCUUUUGUUGGGAAAGAAAAGCAGCAGGUUAAUACCCCGCUGUUCUGACGGUACCCAAAGAAUAAGCACCGGCUAACUUCGUG